UUAAAAAAGCCUGCUAAAACACCCAUGGGCACUGCCUAAUUGCAUGGCUGCUUUAGUCCAGAAGGAAGAUAAUUCUAUGGCUCAGGCUGCUUCUGUUGAGAUCUGUGACAACAACUCUCACUGUACCUGCAUCUGCUACUUUGUCAUUUGCCUGUUUCCACAGGACUUUGAGGUAGGGGCAAAAUGGUAAAAUGUUAUAGGUGAUAUCUUUUGAUUUUUCAUAAAUACAGUUUCAGUGUGGCAAUGUUGCAUGAUGUCUGCCUCUUUCUUCUACAAUCACCAAAGUCCAAUGAGAAAGCAAAGGUCAAGAAGUUCUUUGAUGUCUGACCAAGAUCAAUUCACCAAGAAGAGACUGUUUCAUUUUAAUAUUCUGCUGGAGGUAGUCUUCACAUGCUUGUGGUAGAAAUACCCCCUUGCCUAUCCUCAACUUGGUUCAGCCCAUUGUUCUAAAAGGCUUAGCAGGGGAUGACUAAUGAGCAGGCUAUGACUUCUUGGAGACAAAGGUGAGAGUUGGGUGAAUCAAGUGACCACUAAAGGUGGAAAGUAGAACCCGAAUAAGAGCUGUAACAAAACAGGGAUUCUCCUGAGACAACUAAAGAUAUGAAGAAAGACUCCAGGAUGGAGGAAGGUCUGUGAAAAAUAUACAAGUGAUGGAAAUGGAAUUAACUACUUGCCUGAGUACAGAGUAUGAGGACAACAUAUGCCAAUAUUCAUCCUGGGAAAAAAGGGAGCAUUAUUUUUUUUUGGAAGGAAGAAGGAGAAAGGAAGGAAUGAGCAUCCUGGGAAAGGCAGGUGCUAGGAUGUUCAUCAGUGGUGCCACAAAAUCCACUUUAGUUCUUUGGUCACUCCAUUCAUCAAGGCAGCUCAGGAAAACUGUUUGAAAAGCACAGGAGAAAGUAGGAGGUGCUCCAAAGGAGGAGGAGGCAAACAUUUGCUCAAGCUUAUCUGGAGUUUCCUAUCCUCUCACAGCCAGGGAGGUCUCAAUUGGAAAGGACUUCUGAGAAGAGGUUGUAGAUUCUAAAGAAGUAGCAUCCUAUGAAGAGAAAGGACUAGGCUGGGACAGAAAAGGGUCAAAAUGACUGACCUGAAAGAAGCCAUGAAGAAGAAAAAGAAUUAACAAAAAGCAUCAUAUGGUCUUUUCCCACAAUAAUUGUAUUGUGUUCAGCUAGGUGCAUAUCAUAGUGGAGAAAAGAUAAAUAUGAGAAAAGUUUUUAUAACAUAAUAUUCUUGUGUAAUUCUCAUUAUUGAAAUAAGAACUUAACAAAUAAAUGUUUUACAUUCCACGGAAGAAACAGACAAUAAUGAGGAAGGAGGACAAAUAUCAUUUAUGAAAUUAUUUAAAUAAUGGUGAUUUUAAUUAAAUUCUUUGCUUCUGAAUGACUUUUAAAGACAUAUGUUUUCUUUGUAAAGUCAAUCACCUCUUGGCAUUAUUUAAUCCUUCUCAACAUUAGGCUAAUGUUCCAAAAUGUUUUAAA
This 1475-nucleotide long non-coding RNA is filed under the name Sarcophilus harrisii (Tasmanian devil). RNAcentral's name for it is "lncRNA (ENSSHAG00000025587.1)". Lineage: Eukaryota; Metazoa; Chordata; Mammalia; Dasyuromorphia; Dasyuridae. The record is from RNAcentral.